UUUGUUUGUUUGUUAAUUGUUUGUUAAUUAAUGCCGGUAUGGCUGGCCCUGGGGUGGAAUGCAGGACUCUGUCCAGGGCUGCUGCUGCCUGUCCUUCCCAGCUCUAAACUGCAGAGCACAGAGCUGUACCCUGGAGAGGAACAAACCUGGCAGGAGCUUCAAGGUGAGAGACCACGGAAAACCUGCAGGAUGUGGGUUGGAAAGAAGGGUGGCCUGUGUGGUGACUUUUUAAUAACUGCGUGAAUAUUUACUUUAGCAUGAAUUCUUUCUUUGGACUCACAGGACUCCAGUUAGAAACCUGGUGUUGAGGAUGAUGAGGAGGAUUUUCAGUUGCUACUGGAAAUAGAGAGUUCUGUUAGCACAGCUGCUCCAGGCAGGGUGUUUGUCCUUACAGGAUUUCAGGUUGGUUUGGGAGUUUGAAUAUGAAUUGAGAGUAAGGUGUCAAAAGCAGGAAGCCCUUCUGGGAGUUUAUUGAAUA
RNAcentral lists this long non-coding RNA (478 nucleotides) under Cyanistes caeruleus (blue tit). RNAcentral describes it as "lncRNA (ENSCCEG00000019490.1)". The record is from RNAcentral. Lineage: Eukaryota; Metazoa; Chordata; Aves; Passeriformes; Paridae.